RNAcentral lists this ribosomal RNA (253 nucleotides) under uncultured bacterium. RNAcentral describes it as "partial 16S ribosomal RNA". It matches the Rfam family "Bacterial small subunit ribosomal RNA", at positions 524 to 776 of the family's 1533-position model. The record is from RNAcentral.
UACGGAGGGGACUAGCGUUGUUCGGAAUUACUGGGCGUAAAGCGCACGUAGGCGGAUUUGUAAGUCAGGGGUGAAAUCCCGGGGCUCAACCUCGGAACUGCCUUUGAUACUGCAAAUCUCGAGUCCGGAAGAGGUGAGUGGAAUUCCUAGUGUAGAGGUGAAAUUCGUAGAUAUUAGGAAGAACACCAGUGGCGAAGGCGGCUCACUGGUCCGGUACUGACGAUGAGGUGCGAAAGCGUGGGGAGCAAACAGG